UACGGAGGGUGCAAGCGUUAUCCGGAUUCACUGGGUUUAAAGGGUGCGUAGGCGGGCAGGUAAGUCAGUGGUGAAAUCUCCGGGCUUAACCCGGAAACUGCCAUUGAUACUAUCUGUCUUGAAUAUCCUGGAGGUGAGCGGAAUAUGUCAUGUAGCGGUGAAAUGCUUAGAUAUGACAUAGAACACCAAUUGCGAAGGCAGCUCACUACGGGAUUAUUGACACUGAGGCACGAAAGCGUGGGGAUCAAACAGG
Molecule: ribosomal RNA, 253 nt
Filed under: uncultured bacterium
Lineage: Bacteria
Description: partial 16S ribosomal RNA
Rfam family: Bacterial small subunit ribosomal RNA
Source: RNAcentral